UACGGAGGGUGCGAGCGUUGUCCGGAAUCACUGGGCGUAAAGGGCGCGUAGGCGGCCCGCUAAGUCGGGGGUGAAAUCCUGAGGCUCAACCUCAGAACUGCCUUCGAUACUGGCAAUCUCGAGUCCGGAAGAGGUUGGUGGAACAGCUAGUGUAGAGGUGAAAUUCGUAGAUAUUCGCAAGAACACCAGUGGCGAAGGCGGCUCACUGGCCCGGUACUGACGCUGAGGUGCGAAAGCGUGGGGAGCAAACAGG
This 253-nucleotide ribosomal RNA is filed under the name uncultured bacterium. RNAcentral's name for it is "partial 16S ribosomal RNA". It matches the Rfam family "Bacterial small subunit ribosomal RNA", at positions 524 to 776 of the family's 1533-position model. The record is from RNAcentral.